CUCCAGAGGGGAGCGUCACUCUCUCCCAGCCCCGAUUUUCCCAGGAGGAGAAGCCAGGGGACGGGGUGCAGCCUCCCGGGCCCGGAUGGGGGCGCACAGCCAGAACCGCUGCCUUCCGGGGCGGGAGAGACGCGGCCGGCGGAGCCGGGGUCCCCUGAGCCCCCACCGCACACCCCACCGCACACGGUCCCGUCGCCCGCAGGGGCUGACAGGAGAAGAGGUCAGGACACAAAGACCCAGACGUGGCAGGAGGAGCCUGUGUGAAGAGAGCGGCAGCGACUGGGGCACAGGGGCAAGCACAGGAACACCAAGGAUCGCUAGCGGCCCACCAAGGAAGGACACUCCCAGAGCCCCAGAGGGAGCCCAGCCCUGCUGACACCUGAGUUCCGGCUUCUGUUCUCCAGGACUGAGAGAGGAUACAUUUCUUUCGUUUUAGCCGCCCAGUUUGUGGUGCUUUGUUCUGGCGGCCCCAGGAAACUAGCUCAAAUACUUUAAAGCAAAUCUCAAGAAUAAGAAAACAUUUUUAAA
Long non-coding RNA from Neofelis nebulosa (Clouded leopard), 528 nucleotides. RefSeq lists it as uncharacterized. The record is from RefSeq and is a predicted model, not a curated record. The transcript is spliced from 2 exons. NCBI's taxonomy places the organism in Eukaryota, Metazoa, Chordata, Mammalia, Carnivora, Felidae.